UAGCAGUGGGAGCUACCAUGCAGUCGAGCGGUACAUAUAGACUUGCUACUUUGCUGACGAGCGGCGGACGGGUGAGUAGUGCUUGGGAUGUGCCUUGGGGUGGGGGACAACUGUUGGAAACGACUGCUAAUACCGCAUAGUGUCUACGGACCAAGGGGGGCUUCGGCUCUCCCCUUUAUAUUGGCCCAAGUGGGAUUAUCUAUUUGGUGAGGUAGUGGCUCCCCAGGGCCACUAUCCCUAUCUGGUUUGAGAGGAUGAUCACCCACUCUGGGACUGACACACGGCCCACACUCCUACGGGAGGCAGCAGUGGGGAAUAUUGCACAGUGGGCGCAAGCCUGAUGCACCCGUGCCGCGUGUGUGAAGAAGGCCUUCGGGUUGUAAAGCACUUUCACUCGAGAAGAAGGGUUAAUAUUUAAUACCUGCUAUCUGUGACGUUACUGACAAAAGAAGCCCCGGCUAACUCCGUGCCAGCACCCGCGGUAAUACGGAGGGUGCGAGCGUUAAUCAAAAUUACUGGGCGUAAAGCGUACGCGGGCGUUUUGUUAAGCGAUAUGAGAAACCCCCGGUCUCCCCCUGGAAACUGUUUUUCAAACUGGCAAACUAGAGUGUGAUAGAGGGUGGUAAAAUUUCGUGUGUAGCGGAGAUGUGCGUAGAGAUCUGAAAGAAUACCGAUGGCGAACGCACCCCCGUGGCUCCACUCUGACUCUCAUGUACGAAAGCGUGGGGAGCAAACAAGAUUAUAUACCCUGGUACACA
This 758-nucleotide ribosomal RNA is filed under the name Pseudoalteromonas sp. RNAcentral describes it as "bacterial SSU rRNA". It matches the Rfam family "Bacterial small subunit ribosomal RNA", at positions 37 to 797 of the family's 1533-position model. The record is from RNAcentral. Lineage: Bacteria; Pseudomonadati; Pseudomonadota; Gammaproteobacteria; Alteromonadales; Pseudoalteromonadaceae.